This 440-nucleotide ribosomal RNA is filed under the name uncultured bacterium. Its description in RNAcentral is "partial 16S ribosomal RNA". It matches the Rfam family "Bacterial small subunit ribosomal RNA", at positions 338 to 795 of the family's 1533-position model. The record is from RNAcentral.
CCUACGGGGUGCAGCAGUGGGGAAUAUUGCACAAUGGGGGAAACCCUGAUGCAGCGACGCCGCGUGAGUGAAGAAGUAUUUCGGUACGUAAAGCUCUAUCAGCAGGGAAGAAAAUGACGGUACCUGACUAAGAAGCCCCGGCUAACUACGUGCCAGCAGCCGCGGUAAUACGUAGGGGGCAAGCGUUAUCCGGAUUGACUGGGUGUAAAGGGAGCGUAGACGGCAGCGCAAGUCUGGAGUGAAAUCCCAUGGCUUAACCAUGGAACUGCUUUGGAAACUGUGCAGCUAGAGUGCAGGAGAGGUAAGCGGAAUUCCUAGUGUAGCGGUGAAAUGCGUAGAUAUUAGGAGGAACACCAGUGGCGAAGGCGGCUUACUGGACUGUAACUGACGUUGAGGCUCGAAAGCGUGGGGAGCAAACAGGAUUAGAUACCCGGGUAGUC